CUAGAUUGGGUUUAUCCCGGAGGAGCAAAUACACAUUGUACUCCUAGAUUGGGUUUAACACCGGGGAGCAAAUACACAUCGUACUCCCGCGGAAGCAUGAAGUCUCUUGACAUGAGAAAUUAGGUGUAUUGGAGGGUAAAUUUCCCUGUGCACUGGAAAAUUUCGCGGUAACUUGCGAUCUGAGAAUCGAGAAGAGCAAAUACUUCAAAAAAUUUGUGCGAGAGAGAGAGAGGCUUUUCGGGAGAGAGAGAGAGAGAGAGAGAGAGAGAGAG
This 272-nucleotide long non-coding RNA is filed under the name Amborella trichopoda. RNAcentral's name for it is "long non-coding RNA (ATRI_LNC005434)". The record is from RNAcentral. Lineage: Eukaryota; Viridiplantae; Streptophyta; Magnoliopsida; Amborellales; Amborellaceae.